AAUACUAUUCUAGCCUAGUUCUAAUAACAAAUAUACAUAUUAAUUGUUCAUUAUUCAUAUUUGUAUUCAAUUUUUCAGAUAUCCGAACAAUUUUAAAUUCUUUGAAACUAUAUCAGCAUCCGUAUUCGACACUAUCCGAAUAUUAUUAAAUAUGCAUUUGAUAAGGCCGGAUAUUAUCUUAUUCAUUUUCGACGCUAGAGAUACAAACGGAGCAGAUCUAGAGGCAGAAAGGGUCCCCACGUCCCGCUCUGCUUCUUGAGUCGAGGUCGAUUUGAAGCGGUUUAACUUUAAUCCUAUUUUGGCGCCCACAUACCGUUCCAUUCGGGGCGAAUCAGGACAGAGACGCUUUUGGUAGAUUUUACUUUUCACUCGUCAAUUGGUCUCUCUUGAAUAUGCAAAUUCCAACACGAGGCAAGAAGAAAGAGUAUACUCCACUACUAGUCCCAAAAAAGACAAAAGAAGAAAGGAUAUAUUGCACUACUAGUCCUUCAAUUUUUAAAUUCGACUUUCAAAACUCUGAACUUUCAACGAUGUUUCAUUUUCAAUUCUGAACUUUCAACAAUGUUUUAUUUCAGAUCUCUUUCUUAGAAUAAAACUUAUUGGUUGUACCAAUAGGCAAUUGGCAUUAUAGACACGGACACGGACACGAAGUAUGGAACACGGCACUAAUUGGACACCAUGACUAAACAGCUCCAAAAAAAUUAAAACACAGACACGAGAUAGACACCACUAUUAUUAAUAUAAAAAUAUAUAUUUAUCUAUACUUAUAAAAGCGUGAGUUUUAAAUUUUUUUCUGUUUCCAAAAAUACCUCUAUCUUUUCUACUAAUAUUUUCAUAUCCAGUAAUUUUCAACCAUUCAUUUCAAAUAAUUUUUCAAAUAAUAAUUUAUUCUCAAAUAUAGAUUUUUAAGUUUUUACCAUUGGAUCUCAUCCAACGAUUAAAAAUAAAAGUAUCUGUCACUUUUCUUGACAAAAAUACCCUCAAUAUCCGUUAUCUUCUAUCUAUGCAUUUUACAAAUAUGUACGCGUUUUCUCAAACGUAAUUUCUACCCUAACUUAAAAUAUCUGUUAUCUCCUAUUUACGUGUUUCUCAAAUAUUUUCUUUCUCACAUGUAAUAUGUGCGCCAAUCACGUAGAAUAUUGUUAGAAAGAUUUAAUACCCAUCUAAGGAAAACUAAAAUAUUAAUUAAAUAUAAUUUAAAUUUUUAAAUUUUUUAGUAAACUAUUCAAAAAUAAUAUCCAUCAAAAUAUUUUACGCGUUUCUUAAAUAUAGAGUAUAUAAUGCACUCAGUAUAAAAUAUUGCUAGAAAAAUUUAAUACCCAUUUAAGGAAAACUAAAUGGUUAAUAAAAUAUAAUUUAAAAUUUUUAAAUUUUUUUAGUAAAAUAUUCAAAAAUAAUACCCAAAAAAAUAUUUUACGUUUCUUAAAUAUAGAGCAUAUCUUAAUGCACUCCCAUAUAAUAUCGACAUAUCUUUAUAUAUAAAUAUAAUAUCUCAUCAUAAUAUUUAUUCAUACACAGAAAAUAUUUUUUUUGAGACAUAUUUUUUUUAGUAAUAUCUUUUUUAUUUUCACCUAUAUUUUUUAAAUAUUUUUUUUAGUAAUAUCCUUUCUCCAUCGCUAGCACCAGUAUAUCGUAGCACAUCGUCAUCGUCGACACCAGCACAUUGUCACUUUUACUUUUGCCACCUUCGUUUGGAGAGGUACUUUGAUUCCAUCUGAAAAUUUUUUAUUUUUUUAAUGUGCAUUUAUAGUAUCUUAACAUAUUUUUUUGGUAUUUUCUCAUUUUUAUGUAUACAUUUAUCAAAUAUAAAGCAUAUAUAUUUUUGAUAAUAUUCUUUUUCAUUUUCACCUAUAUUUUUUUUAAUUAUUCUCAUAUAUUUCUUUUAGUAAAUCAUUUCUCAUUUGUCAUCGUUGCCGGCACCAGCACAUGGUCAUCGUCCUCCUCCUUAUCGUCAUCAUCAUCACCGGCACAUUGUCCCCUUCGUCACCUUCACUAUAAUUAUUUUGAUCCCACCGAAUUUUUUUUAAUGUGUCUUUAUACUGUUACAUUAUAUUUUUUUUUAGUAUUUCCUUAUUUUUACCUAUGUAUAUUUUUUUAGUAAUAUCCUUUUAAAUAUUUUCUUUGUGGCAUAACUAUCAAUCCUUUCUUACAUAAUGCGCACAUUUUUUCAAAUAUAAUGAAAUACAUAUAAAAAAUACUUAUAGUAUAAAUUAAUUAAAAAUAUAUAAAACUUAUCUAGAGAUAAAUUAAAGUUAGAAAAAAAUAAUUAAAUGAUAGACAUACACCUCCAUUAACGAUUUAAAAUUUAAAAUGUAAAUAUAAAUUUAAUUUAAAAUUAGAUGUGACAUUUUGAAUUAAAAAUAAAUUAAAAUUUUGUUGCUUUUAGAUUAAAAUAUAUAACCAAUCUUCUAAAUCUCCUUUCUGACGAGUGAUACUUGCUACCUAUCAUCUCUUUAUCAGAUAUCGAGCAUAUCUUGAUAUUUAACCUCCCAAUCUUCUUAUUCUUAUCCCAAUCUUAUAUAUACUUAUUAUUUUUCACACAUAAUACCCGCCACCUAUGCAUUUGUCACUACAUAAGUGAUGCCGACACAUCGUUGUUGUCACCUUCACCGGCACAUCUUUAUCCUCCUUCUCACCGACACAACUUCGUUGUCACCUUUGCUAGCAUGACGUCGUCGUCUACACAUUGCAUGUAUAUCACCUGCGGCCAAUUUAUACAAAAGUAUACCAGACCUCUAAAAAGCUCACGAAUUUAAAUUAGAAUUCAAUUCAUAUUCUGUAAAAUUAAAAAAAUUACAAAAUUCAUAAAUAUAACUAUGUUUCUAUGACAUUAUAUAUUUUGAGCAUCUAUUUAUCAAAUUCAUCAACUUUUUUUAUAUUGUUAAUUUUUAUGUUCAUUUAAUGCCUAGAUAUUAUGGUUUUAAAAAUUUAUAAAUUUUAAUGUAUAAUUUUUUUAAAAACGAAUGUUAAAUAUUAAAUGUGGUGUAUAAAACAUGUACAUUGGGUACAGCAAAAACUUCUCAAAAUAUGAACAGUAUCUCAAUAGGAUUCAAAAUUCUUCCAAAAUUGUAUUAAUAUUUUUACGAUCUUCUUCAAAUCAAUAUAUAUAUAUAUAUAUAUAUAUAUAUAUAUAGGGUAUAAAAAAUGUUAAAAUCUUUGCCCAAAUUAAGCUGUCACGCCCCGGGGCCGAUUUUAAAAGCCUUUUAAAAACAGAGUUGCGGAAAACGUGCCAUUUUUUUUUUUUCAACCUGGCCCACGUGACGUACAGAUCCGCCACAAAUACAAAGUUCCUCUGUCCACUCGGGCAGAGUCUCCUUUGUAUUUGCACGGCGUACCAACGGAUACAACAGGAUCACAACCACAACCUACAUUUACCAAUCAACAACCAAAGCAUGAUAUGCAUUUCCAUACAGCUAACAAUCCUUAGAAUGAUGCAUGCCUCUAAGCACUCCUUAGGCGCUGGAUGAUGCAAUGCACAAUACAACAACCAUCCUAUUUAAGAAUGCUCCCCACACAGAAGCUUUUAUUUUUGAACUCUAAUUCAUUCAUCAUGAAAAACCAUUUGAAAACCUUUUGAAAACUGUUUCCCACACGGAAACUCUAUUUU
This 3607-nucleotide long non-coding RNA is filed under the name Ananas comosus (pineapple). Its description in RNAcentral is "long non-coding RNA (ACOM_LNC035077)". The record is from RNAcentral. Lineage: Eukaryota; Viridiplantae; Streptophyta; Magnoliopsida; Poales; Bromeliaceae.